GGUGUAAYUUGGUAGCACGAAGAUUUUUGAGUUCUUAGGAG
This 41-nucleotide transfer RNA is filed under the name Rhinoceros sondaicus (Javan rhinoceros). Its description in RNAcentral is "partial tRNA-Gln". Lineage: Eukaryota; Metazoa; Chordata; Mammalia; Perissodactyla; Rhinocerotidae. The record is from RNAcentral.